UGGAGCCUGCGGUUUAAUUGGAUCAACGCCGGAAAUCUCACCGGGGCGACAGCAAUAUGAAGGUCAGGCUGAAGACCUUACCCGAUUAGCUGAGAGGUGGUGCAUGGCCGUCGUCAGUUCGUACUGUGAAGCACCCUGUUAAGUCAGGCAACGAGCGAGACCCACGUCCACAGUUGCCAGCAUACCCUCCGGGGUGAUGGGUACACUGUGGAGACCGCCGCUGCUAAAGCGGAGGAAGGAGUGGGCAACGGUAGGUCAGUAUGCCCCGAAUCUCCCGGGCUACACGCGGGCUACAAUGGUUGGUACAAUGGGCAUCUACCCCGAAAGGGGAAGGAAAUCUCUUAAAGCCAAUCGUAGUUCGGAUUGAGGGCUGCAACUCGCCCUCAUGAAGCUGGAAUCCGUAGUAAUCGCGUUUCAACAGAACGCGGUGAAUACGUCCCUGCUCCUU
This 448-nucleotide ribosomal RNA is filed under the name uncultured Methanosaeta sp. RNAcentral's name for it is "bacterial SSU rRNA". It matches the Rfam family "Archaeal small subunit ribosomal RNA", at positions 889 to 1338 of the family's 1478-position model. Lineage: Archaea; Methanobacteriati; Methanobacteriota; Methanomicrobia; Methanotrichales; Methanotrichaceae. The record is from RNAcentral.